This 253-nucleotide ribosomal RNA is filed under the name uncultured bacterium. RNAcentral's name for it is "partial 16S ribosomal RNA". It matches the Rfam family "Bacterial small subunit ribosomal RNA", at positions 524 to 776 of the family's 1533-position model. The record is from RNAcentral.
UACGAAGGGUGCAAGCGUUACUCGGAAUUACUGGGCGUAAAGCGUGCGUAGGCGGUUUGUUAAGUCUGUUGUGAAAGCCCCGGGCUCAACCUGGGAAUGGCAAUGGAAACUGGCGAGCUAGAGUACGGUAGAGGAGAGUGGAAUUCCCGGUGUAGCAGUGAAAUGCGUAGAGAUCGAGAGGAACAUCAGUUGCGAAGGCGGCUCUCUGGACCAGUACUGACGCUGAGGCACGAAAGCGUGGGGAGCAAACAGG